UACGAAGGGGGCUAGCGUUGUUCGGAUUUACUGGGCGUAAAGCGCACGUAGGCGGAUCUUUAAGUCAGAGGUGAAAUCCCAAGGCUCAACCUUGGAACUGCCUUUGAUACUGGCGAUCUUGAGUCCGGGAGAGGUGAGUGGAACUGCGAGUGUAGAGGUGAAAUUCGUAGAUAUUCGCAAGAACACCAGUGGCGAAGGCGGCUCACUGGCCCGGUACUGACGCUGAGGUGCGAAAGCGUGGGGAGCAAACAGG
RNAcentral lists this ribosomal RNA (253 nucleotides) under uncultured bacterium. RNAcentral describes it as "partial 16S ribosomal RNA". It matches the Rfam family "Bacterial small subunit ribosomal RNA", at positions 524 to 776 of the family's 1533-position model. The record is from RNAcentral.